GUGCGCCUACGGGGCGCAGCAGUGAGGAAUAUUGGUCAAUGGGCGGAAGCCUGAACCAGCCAAGUCGCGUGAGGGAAUAAGGCCCUACGGGUCGUAAACCUCUUUUGCCGGGGAGCAAGGGCCGGGACGCGUCCCGGCCCGGAGAGUACCCGGAGAAAAAGCAUCGGCUAACUCCGUGCCAGCAGCCGCGGUAAUACGGAGGAUGCGAGCGUUAUCCGGAUUUAUUGGGUUUAAAGAGUGCGUAGGCGGAUUUUUAAGUCAGCGGUAAAAUGUCCGGGCUCAACCCGGGCCGGCCGUUGAAACUG
Molecule: ribosomal RNA, 305 nt
Filed under: uncultured bacterium
Lineage: Bacteria
Description: bacterial SSU rRNA
Rfam family: Bacterial small subunit ribosomal RNA
Source: RNAcentral